UUUUGAGAGCCUGCGUGCUCAUGCUUAUCUUCUUGGGGUAAACCCUAGCCGCCGAUGUUCCCGGUUGGUCUCGCUUGUACCAAAACCUUAGUUAACUUUCCUCUGAAAUUCAGCCCUGAAGGUGCUAGUUCUCUGAAUUUUGAGUGUAUUUCUGAAUUUUAGUCCGUCAGACCAUCUGGGUCUGACAGAUCCCUCUCCUCCAUCGAGUAGCAGCGGCGGCGUGGGACGCAGCGGGCUCGGCCUUCGUUGGCGGCGGCAGGGUCCCUCUCCUCCCUCGACCAUCGGCGGCGGCGGGGUCCCUCUCCUCCCUCGACCAUCGGCGGCAGCGCGGGAAGCAACAGGUGACCAGGGACGCGGCGCUGGGCGCAGGGCGCGGCGGCGAAGCUGAGGGAGCCGGGCCUUGUGGCACGGGGGCGCGACGAUGCCAUGGGCCAUGGCGGCUGUGGGGUGGAGGGCGCGUGCGUGAAGGCGGCGCGUUCCUCCGGCUUCCGGCGUGCCGCGGCAUGGACUUCCUUGCUGUCGCCAUGCUCCCUGAUGCCAGCUCCUCCUUCCUCCCGUCCCAGGACAUGCACAACACCAUCCCAUGUCCUCUGCCCGCUGGCCAGAGAAAUCCAUUGGUGAGCAAUAUGGGUGAUGCAUGUGAAUGGAUUGGGACUGCCAUCUCCACUGCACUGAAGGAGAUCAAGCCCAUUUUCAUCAGCAUCAACUGGAACCUCCCCUAGGCCUGCAUCCUUGUCCAUUCUUUUUUCUCUCCCCGAGGUAAGUUGGCAUGCUCCCUUUCGUGCAUAAGGACGAUGAGACGGGUAUCAGGGUAUGGGUUUGGUAUUACUGAUGUUGAUGACCUGCUCACUUGCCAGACUGUCAAACCAGAUGAGCCAGAAAGGAACUAAGAGAAAUGACUAUUCAUUUACCAGUCUUGUCAGCCUCUGUAUUGUCAAUUUGUCAUUCGACUGAUGCUUGAAUGUAUUAGUAGACAAAAUGACAUGUUUGUUGAUCAACUAUGAUAUGUGUUUCCACUGUCUACUUGCCGCCUUCUGAGGGGCAGAUUGAGCUUGAGAAGAUUUUUGCGAAAACAUAGUGGUGCUCUUGCUCUGAUGGAAAUUGAGAGUAGGGUGUUCCAAACUAGAUUGAUACAUGUAGGAAUUUGUGACUGAGUUUUAUGCUCAGAGUUAGAUACCUGCUCUCCACUCUUCACCUAUCCUAGAACUUGCAUUUCAUUUUUUGUGUUGCUAUAAUCUGUCCAUUAAUCGGUAUCUACCUCCAUUAAUCGGUAUUCUAGCUGAAAGUUUCAAAGUUGUCAAUUGUUUUCGAAACUCGGUUUUCAGAGUAGCUGGUCCUUUUUUGGGACAUAUUUGUUGUGUCUUUUGCCCAUUUUGUCUUGUAUUUUGUCAUACACCGUUCAAUUAGCUAAUUGUCAUUAUGCCAUAGCAAACUUGUGCAACCUAUUGCCGCUCUGCCAUGGGUCACAUGGCCAUCCUUCAUACACCGCUUCACUAGGACUAACCCCGAAGUACAGAUGAUGAAAAUUCCAAAAGAAGUUGCCUCAUGUUUGGAUACCCCGAAGCACAGGCUGGCGAGACUAAGUUUGGGCAAAGAGAGCUUCAGGAGGACCGAAUAUGACACCUCACUCGACUGUCGCAUAUUCUUCAAGCAAGGAUGGAAGGAGGUCCUCACGAGACAUGACAUGAGGUUGACACUGUUGUACUAAUUACAUUUAAGACCAUCGCCAACAAUGAGUUGGAGAUUAUAGUCAUCCUUUUAUGUCCUCUCAGAAGAUCAUGUUGGACGAGUUCGGGGCUUUCAUGAGUUAUUUAGUCAUUUCUCUGCGUUUUUUUAAACCAUGGAGGAGAACUGCAUGUGAACUUCAUAGAUACGAGAACUGCAUGGCACGUACAAAGUUCAAUUCCUCUUUUGUUUAUUUUGUUUCCUCUUUGUCUACAUACUGGUUUUUGAACUAUGUUUUGUGAAUCGGAUGUAUAUAGACAUGUUUUAGUGUGUUU
This is a long non-coding RNA of Triticum aestivum (bread wheat), 2000 nucleotides long. RefSeq lists it as uncharacterized. Lineage: Eukaryota; Viridiplantae; Streptophyta; Magnoliopsida; Poales; Poaceae. The record is from RefSeq and is a predicted model, not a curated record. The transcript is spliced from 3 exons.